This 195-nucleotide ribosomal RNA is filed under the name uncultured Mycoplasma sp. RNAcentral describes it as "partial 16S ribosomal RNA". It matches the Rfam family "Bacterial small subunit ribosomal RNA", at positions 375 to 561 of the family's 1533-position model. The record is from RNAcentral. Lineage: Bacteria; Bacillati; Mycoplasmatota; Mollicutes; Mycoplasmatales; Mycoplasmataceae.
ACGAAAGUCUGAUGGAGCAAUACCACGUGAACGAUGAAGGUCUUCUGAUUGUAAAGUUCUUUUAUUUAGGAAAAAAAGCGCGCUAGGAAAUGAGCGCGCGGAAGAUUGUACUAAAUGAAUAAGUGACAGCUAACUAUGCGCCAGCAGCUGCGGUAAAGCAUAGGUCUCGAUUAAUUAUCCGGAUUUAUUGGGCGU